Long non-coding RNA from Phyllopteryx taeniolatus (common seadragon), 1172 nucleotides. RefSeq lists it as uncharacterized. NCBI's taxonomy places the organism in Eukaryota, Metazoa, Chordata, Actinopteri, Syngnathiformes, Syngnathidae. The record is from RefSeq and is a predicted model, not a curated record. The transcript has 7 exons.
AAAGGGAAAUUGACACCUCGCGACAACAAGCUUGAACCCUCCUCCUCCUCCUCCUCCUUCUCCUCCCUCGCUCUGGUAUGAAAUGAACAUUUGCUCCUAUCUCCCUUCUAUUCACAUUCAAAACAGUCUAUAAAAGACGAGCGGUGCUGGGAACAAGUCAGCUGAAGAAAGAGCCACAAGGACAAUAAUAUUACUGCCACUUUUUUACACUCUAUGGCGGACAAAGGCCUGUGUGAGGAUUCGGAAGAGGUUAUGUCCAAAUAACAGAAGAAGAUGCUGGUUUUUGAACUUUGCCUCCAUAACAGUCCGGAUGGUUCUUUUCCUCUUUGGCCCGGAGGACACGACGUUUGGAACAUUCCACAGGUGAACAGGCUAAUUGGGAACAGCCCUCCAUCAGACUUCAGGAUGGAGAACCGGGAGAGGGAACAACAUAGUGGGAAGACGAAGAAUGGAAGCCCCCCCCCCCUCCAGCACUUUAAAGUUCCUCUCCAAGCGGGGGUACUAUACAGAAAGGGGCCGGUUGAAGUUCAAAAGAGUGGAAGGCGAGAGUACAUGAGGCCUCUGCAGAGUGGCCACAAAAUGGAGACUGGGACAGAAGCGCCGGCAGCUGUGGUGACGCUACACUCCAACACAAUACGAUCAACCAGGACGUCUAUAAAAAGAUCCUGUGACGUUCACCGUCCGAGAAGAGGCGAGCUCCUGGCCGAGAAGAACAUCGCCGUGCUGGAGCAACCUCACUACUCACCCGACCUUCUUAACAUUUGACAGCGAGACUCACAGACAUCCAUAACUACAUUUUUCCUACCCACAACUGGCAUUUAAGUGGAUAUGAACAAGGAAUAUGAAUAUGUAUGCUGGAGAAGCAAGGAUAUUGCCUAUGUGUCUGGGUGAGCGAUGACAUCGAUGACGCACCUGUCGUCAAUUGUAAUCAUCAGCCUUUUUAGGCUCCACCGUGACAGUGUGCUGGCGUCGGAAUAUUCCCCCGUUUUUGCCACGUUUGUCCUCUGUCUCAACUUAGUUACUCUACCAGUAUAUCGCUUACCACACGGACCUUUUGCCAUGUCCCCCUGUGUUAUCCGUUUUUUGAUUCUCUCUGGUUGCGAGUCCCUUUGACCUAGUACAUCGCGCCAUCACAUGCUCUUUCGUUGAAUUAAAAUUGUUUUUGGACCUUU